Molecule: long non-coding RNA, 499 nt
Filed under: Salvator merianae (Argentine black and white tegu)
Lineage: Eukaryota; Metazoa; Chordata; Lepidosauria; Squamata; Teiidae
Description: lncRNA (ENSSMRG00000010596.1)
Source: RNAcentral
CAGGAACCACUAGCGGAGGUGGACACAUUGCAGCCNAUGCCCCCACAAGAACAGGAACCGGGGUCUGCCGCCCAGAAGGAGGAAGCAGAGCUCAGAUCCGGAUCGGACCAGCGAGACCUGAGGAAAACCUGGGAGGAAUUGGAGGCGCUGAAGGAAAACUUCUGCCGGCUCCAGGAAGAUUAUUCCAAGACGCAACGGACGAACCAGCUGCUGGAGGAAAAGCUUCAAAUUAUUGCCCAGAACAUGGCCGAAGAGAGGCAUACUCUGAACCAGCGGAUCAGUGAACUUCUCGAGAGACUGACCAGCGCCCAGAACGCUGUCUGCAGCUUUGAGAACAUUAAUGUGAGUGCUUGGGUCCGAGGGGCGAGGGACGCAGAGACUAGGGGAGAGGCAGAGUGCCCGGCUGGGAUUCUAGAGAAGGAUUUGGCCACCUGUGGCCUUGGAGCUCUGCCGGUCCUCUGUGGUGUGGACCUGCCCAUAAACACCUGCCUGAAGGCUG